Clupea harengus (Atlantic herring) is the source of this 1368-nucleotide long non-coding RNA. Lineage: Eukaryota; Metazoa; Chordata; Actinopteri; Clupeiformes; Clupeidae. The record is from Ensembl.
ACCUGUAAGGUGUGUGUCAGGUACACAGGUGAAGAGCGUCUUCUGAUUGUCUUGUGUCUUGGGAUGAAGGUUCUCUUUCUUGAGUCUGAGUGAGACCCAGAGAUGCAGAAGCUUUAUACUUUAGAGAGGAAUCUGUGUUAUGUGGUCAGGUGUAUUUGGAGAUGAAAACUAGGCGGUAGGUGUGUUGCAGUGUGACGUCAUUGUGCCUACGUAAUAUAUGGGGGUGUGAUUCAUAGAAGAUAUUCUUAGAAUGAUAACAUCUUGUUAUAGUAACACUAUGCAACAAUUUGACACUUUUUGAGGUAUGGUUUUAUAGGAAACUAGUUUUGGUACCAUCCUCAAAUUCAUUUUGAUAGCAUAUGGUCAUGUGAAGGACAGAUAAACACCUGUGUCUUCCCCUCUAACCAUCCAGGAUAUGCAAUAUGCAGUUCUGUUUUUCCUGGCUGGAACACCUUGCAAAAACAAAAUAAAAGCUUUCACAGCACUAUAUUGUACUCUUAAAAUAGGAUUAUACUUUUUUCAGUUAAUACAAUUUCAUAAUUAAGGUGAAAAUACAUGAAAAUGUCAUUAGUCAUUUAUAAGUCAUUUCAGUCACACUUUAUAUUGUCUGAAUGAGACCCAGAGAUGCAGAAGUAAGUGUGCACACCAACACCCCUUUGCAGAUUUACGUACAGCAGGAGACACAUCCAUUCCUGUGUUGUAAGAUCAAUGCUGUGCAGCGGAUUUAAACUAGACUGACUGCUUUAUGACAGUUGUCCCAGGUCCUUUUGAAAUGGCCCUAAGCAUUAGGUGUGUCGCACUGUGGCGUCAUUGUUGCAUCCGUCAUAGGCAAGACAAUUGAAUGCAACGGUGUCUGUGUGAGUGUGAUUCAUAGUCCAUUUUUGCACUAAUACCUGAUCAAAGUAAGAUAACGGGGUAUUUGUUUACAUGGAAAGGAAUGUAAAUUCAGGGUUAAGGAACACAAAAUUAAGCCAACAAUGAAUGUAAGAACAUAGCUACAAUAACUACUCAAGCAACAGUAUGUACUUCAAGGUAUCUAGUUAGGAUAGUUUUGGAUCACAUUUGGUGAAAAAGGGAGGGUAUGAUAUAAUAGUUACCUAAAAGACAGAUGUAACUGCUUUUGGAGUAUGGAAAAACAUUACUUAGCACGACAACAAGGUUUUUCCAUUGUGCAUGACAAAGGUAGCCAAAGAUAGUAACUUUGUUGUGCAGAAUUAGUAAAAAGACACUCGUAGUACACAGAGCCAGUGAUGAGUCCUCCCCUGCAAGUCUCUGUAUUUACUGUAGAUUCAUAAAUCUCUGUAUAUACUGUACUUUAGAUUCACAAGUCUCUGUAUUUACUGUAGAUUCAUAAGUCUCUGUAUUUAC